GAUGAACGCUGACAGAAUGCUUAACACAUGCAAGUCAUUGGCGAAGCUGCGCUUGCGCAGUCUAGCCAAGGCGGACGGGUUAGUAACGCGUAAGGAAAUUUCCCUGCAGACAGGGAUAACAGACGGAAACGUCUGAUAACACCUGGUAUUGUCAGGCUGGCGCAUGCCGGCCUGAUGAAAGGAGACGCUGCAGGAUAGCCUUGCGUCCUAUUAGCUAGUUGGUGGGGUAAUGGCCCACCAAGGCGAUGAUAGGUAGCCGGCCUGAGAGGGUGAACGGCCACAAGGGGACUGAGAUACGGAGAUUACUCCGAGGGGAGGCAGCAGUGGGGAAUAUAGGACAAUGGGGGCAACGCUGAUCCAGCAAUUCUGUGUGCACGAAGAAGGUUGUCGGAUUGUAAAGUGCUUUCAGCAGGGAAGAAGAAAGUGACGGUACCUGCAGAAGAAGCGACGGCUAAAUACGUG
Molecule: ribosomal RNA, 462 nt
Filed under: uncultured bacterium
Lineage: Bacteria
Description: partial 16S ribosomal RNA
Rfam family: Bacterial small subunit ribosomal RNA
Source: RNAcentral